UCUGGUUGAUCCUGCCAGUAGUCAUAUGCUUGUCUUAAAGAUUAAGCCAUGCAUGUCUAAGUAUAAAUAGUAUACAGUGAAACUGCGAAUGGCUUAUUAAAACAGUUAUAGUUUACUUGAUAAUCGAAUUUUAUAUGGAUAACCGUAAUAAUUUUAGAGCUAAUACAUGCUGUUAAACCUGACUUUUUGGAAAGGUUGUAUUUAUUAGAUACUAAACCAGCAGCUUCGGCUUCUGUGAUGAUUCAUAAUAACUGAUCGGAGUAAAGCUAGCCUUUACUAAAUCAUUCAAGUUUCUGACCUAUCACUUUGUUGUUAGUGUAUUGGACUAACAAGAGGAUUACGGGUACGAGGAAUUAGGGUUUGAUAUCGAAGAGGGAGCCUGAGAAACGGCUACCACUUCUAAGGAAGGCAGCAGGCGCGUAAAUUACCCAAUUCCAAUUCGGAGAGGUAGUGACAAGAAAUAAUAACUCGGAUAGUUUACACUAUUACGAGAUUAAAAUGGGAACAAUUUAAAAAUCUUAUCGAGGAACAAUGAGAGGACAAGUCUGGUGCCAGCACCCGCGGUAAUUCCAGCUCUUAUAGUGUAUAUUAAAGUUGUUGCAGUUAAAAAGCUCGUAGUCUAAUAUCUAGUGCGGCGCGUGCUGGCUCACUGCCAGCGCGACGCGGUGCUAUCUGUUCGAGAACUUCUUCUAUCUUAACUGGUCGGAGAUGCUGAUCGGACUCUUUCCUGAGAAAAAAUUAGAGUGUUUAAAGCAGGCUAAUGCAAUGAAUAUUACAGCUUGGAAUAAUAGAAUAAGACUGGAGUGUCUUUUGUUGGUUAUGAACUUUAGUAAUGGUUAAUAUAAACAGUCGGGGGUAUUAGUAUUUAAGUGUCAGAGGUGAAAUUCUAUGAUUACUUAAAGACUAACUUAUGCGAAAGCAUUUACCAAGGAUGUUUUCAUUGAUCAAGAACGAAAGUUAGGGGAUCAAAGACGAUUAGAUACCGUCCUAGUCUUAACUAUAAACGAUUCCGACCAAGGAUCGGGGAGGUCUGCUAAGCCUUCUCGGCACUUUAUGAGAAAUCAAAGUCUUUGGGUUCUGGGGGAAGUACGGACACAAGUCUGAAACUUAAAGGAAUUGACGGAAGGGCACACAAGAUGUGGAGACUGCGGCUUAAUUUGACUCAACACGGGGAAACUUACUAGAGCAAGACUAAGGUUGGAUUGACAGAAUGAGAGCUCUUUCUUGAUUCUUAGGGUGGUGGUGCAUGGCCGUUCUUAGUUGGUGGAGUGAUUUGUCUGGUUAAUUCCGUUAACGAACGAGACUUUAACCUGCUAAACUAGGAGCCGGAUUACUCAUCUGGUUUCCUUCUUAGAGGGACUACGUGUUCAAGCACAAGGAAGUUUG
RNAcentral lists this ribosomal RNA (1386 nucleotides) under metagenome. RNAcentral describes it as "SSU rRNA". It matches the Rfam family "Eukaryotic small subunit ribosomal RNA", at positions 1 to 1447 of the family's 1831-position model. The record is from RNAcentral.